AAGGAAUAUUGGUCAAUGGACGCAAGUCUGAACCAGCCAUGCCGCGUGAAGGAAGACGGCCCUACGGGUUGUAAACUUCUUUUGUACGGGAAAAAACCUCCGGUCGUGCACCGGAGCUGAUGGUACCGUAAGAAUAAGCAUCGGCUAACUCCGUGCCAGCAGCCGCGGUAAUACGGAGGAUGCAAGCGUUAUCCGGAUUCAUUGGGUUUAAAGGGUGCGCAGGCGGAAUGAUAAGUCAGUGGUGAAAUCCUACGGCUCAACUGUAGAACUGCCAUUGAUACUGUCGUUCUUGAGUACACUUGGAGUGGGCGGAAUGUGUCAUGUAGCGGUGAAAUGCUUAGAUAUGACACAGAACACCGAUCGCGAAGGCAGCUCACUAAAUUGUAACUGACGCUCAGGCACGAAAGCGUGGGGAUCAAAC
This 421-nucleotide ribosomal RNA is filed under the name uncultured bacterium. Its description in RNAcentral is "bacterial SSU rRNA". It matches the Rfam family "Bacterial small subunit ribosomal RNA", at positions 356 to 773 of the family's 1533-position model. The record is from RNAcentral.